Molecule: ribosomal RNA, 227 nt
Filed under: uncultured Bacteroidaceae bacterium
Lineage: Bacteria; Pseudomonadati; Bacteroidota; Bacteroidia; Bacteroidales; Bacteroidaceae
Description: partial 16S ribosomal RNA
Rfam family: Bacterial small subunit ribosomal RNA
Source: RNAcentral
CUGAACCAGCCAAGUAGCGUGAAGGAUGACUGCCCUAUGGCUUGUAAACUUCAUUUAUAUGGGAAUAAAAUGGUCCACGUGUGGACUUUUCUAUGUACCAUAUGAAUAAGGAACGGCUAACUCCGUGCCAGCAGCCGCGGUAAUACGGAGGAUCCGAGCGUUAUCCGGAUUUAUUGGGUUUAAAGGGAGCGUAGGCGGAUUGUUAAGUCAGUUGUGAAAGUUUGCGG